Molecule: non-coding RNA, 27 nt
Filed under: Homo sapiens (human)
Lineage: Eukaryota; Metazoa; Chordata; Mammalia; Primates; Hominidae
Source: RNAcentral
UCCUACCACAUCUGCAUAGAUGACCCC